Molecule: long non-coding RNA, 201 nt
Organism: Juglans regia (Persian walnut)
Lineage: Eukaryota; Viridiplantae; Streptophyta; Magnoliopsida; Fagales; Juglandaceae
Exons: 3
Source: RefSeq, a predicted model, not a curated record
AACCUAAGGUCUUCCAAAAGUGGAACAAGUGUUAGAAGUUCGUUCGAUUGAUUCAAUAUCGAUGAACCUAGAAAAGAGGAUUGAGGGUUGGAACGAGCGCAUAGCAAAAAUUCUUGGAAUUCCUUGGGGAUUCUUGAUUGGUGCUGAGUUAACUAUAGUACAAAGUCGUAUCUCUUUGGUUAAUAAGAUCCAAAAAGUUUA